This 497-nucleotide ribosomal RNA is filed under the name uncultured bacterium. RNAcentral describes it as "partial 16S ribosomal RNA". It matches the Rfam family "Bacterial small subunit ribosomal RNA", at positions 28 to 507 of the family's 1533-position model. The record is from RNAcentral.
GAUGAACGCUGGCGGCGUGCCUAAUACAUGCAAGUCGAGCGAACGGACGAGAAGCUUGCUUUUCUGAUGUUAGCGGCGGACGGGUGAGUAACACGUGGAUAACCUACCUAUAAGACUGGGAUAACUUCGGGAAACCGGAGCUAAUACCGGAUAAUAUUUUGAACCGCAUGGUUCAAAAGUGAAAGACGGUCUUGCUGUCACUUAUAGAUGGAUCCGCGCUGCAUUAGCUAGUUGGUAAGGUAACGGCUUACCAAGGCAACGAUGCAUAGCCGACCUGAGAGGGGACGCGCCCACACUGAAACGGAGACCCGCCCCAGCCUCCACGGGGGGGAGCCGGAGGGGAAUCUUCCGAAAGGGGCGAAGGCCUGAGGGAGCACCCCCGGGGGAGUGAUGAUGGUUUUGGUAUCGAAAAACUUUUUUAUGAGGAAAAAACAUAUUUGAAAGAAAUUGUGCACAUCUUGAGGGACCCAAAUAAGAAACCCAGGGCAAACUCCGUG